CCUGGCCUUGAAUGCCUCCAGGGUGGGAGCAUCCACAACCUCUCUGAGCAGCCUGUUCCAGUGCCUCAUCACCAUCAUGUUGCAGCUGACCAGAACUGAGCUGUGACUGACACUGGUUGUGCCUCUGUGAGAUCCAACUUAAGAAAAGCUUUUGUGCAGCUGCAGCCGGGAGAAAGGAGGGAACAAAUGUAGACAGCAAUAACUCUGCAUUCACCAAGGCCAGUGAGGAUGGAGGGGGAGGAGGUACUCCAGGCAUUGGAAGAGAAGUUCCUCUGCAGCCUGUGGAGAUGCUCAUGGUGCAGCAGGCUAUCCCCUGCAGCCCACGGGGUACCACACAGAGCAGAUCU
This is a long non-coding RNA of Gallus gallus (chicken), 347 nucleotides long. The record is from Ensembl. Lineage: Eukaryota; Metazoa; Chordata; Aves; Galliformes; Phasianidae.